UUCAAGGAAAAUGAAUUACAAAAAAUGAGUAAAAAUGGUAUCGGGCUCGUAAUUUGGUUACGACGCCCGGUACAAGUCAUAAAUAAUUGUUAAGCACUAUCUGUGAAGUUUCAUUUGAAUCAGACGUCGUUUGACGUGUUUUGGAUUAAUAGUGGAAAAUUUUGAAAGUUUUGAUGUUGAAAUGAAAAUCAUGAGUUUUGGAGGUCGAUUCUUUGAUUUAGAUGUUAUUUUGUGAUUUUAUUGCACGAGUAAGUUCGUAGGAUGUUUUUGAGGUUGUGUGCAUGUUUGGUUUGGAGCCCCGAUAGCUCGGGAGAUAUUUGGAGUAGGUGUCGAGUUCAUUUUGCAUGGUUGUAACCUAUUUCUUGUGUAUCAGACCUGCAGGCUUCGCAAUUGCGAAGCCUGGUUUGCAUUUGCGAAAGAGGUCCAGGUCCAGCUAAUCUCGCAAAUACGAGUUCUACUUCGCAAAUGUGAAGUCUCCUCUCUUCCUUCAGUCAUCGCAAAUGCGAUGAUAUUCUUCGCAAUUGCGACCUUUCCCCAUUCCAUCCCAGGUUCGCAUUUGCGAACUCCCAUCUCGCAAAUGCGAGGUCCUCUUCUUUGAUGCCCAGUUCGCAAUUGCGAAUUCGACCCAAGUUCGCAUUUGCGAACUCCCAUCUUGCAAAUGCGAGGUCCACUUCUUUGAUGCCCAGUUCGCAAUUGCGAAUUCGAUAUCGCAAUUGCGAGGUCCGUGUCUGCACAAAAUAUACUUAACCGAUUUUGAAGUUCUUUUUCAUAAUUUCAAAACCCAAAACCCUCAUUGGCAAUUUUCUCUCAACUCUUCUGUCCCCAAAUAAAUUGUUAGUCCAUUUUUACUUGUUUUCUUCAAUCCUUAUCAUCUUCUAUCAUGAUUUCUUCACUAAAUCAAAGCUUUUAUGGGUAAAAAAUGGAGGUUUGGUUAGAAGUUAGAUUUUUCAUAUUUUAAGCUUUUGGACCUCGAUUUGAGGUUCGAUUUCAAUUCUAAUUUUAGAUAUGAGCUCGUGGGGGAAUGGGUAACCCAGUUUUGGUUUGAACCUCGAGUUUUGACCACGUGGUCCUGGGGGAAUUUUGGAAAUUUUGAGUAAAACUUUGGAAAUUUCAUUCUUAUGCAUCUAAAUUGAUUUAACUAGCAUUUGUUGAUACAUUUGAGUAAAUUGUGGUUAGAUUCGACCAGUUUUGAAGCGAAUUCGAGGGGUAAAGCCAUUCUAGAAGCGUGAGUUGAGUUGGAAGCCUUCGAGGUAAGUGCUCGAUCUAACUUUGGCUUGAGGGAAUAAAAUUAGGUUGUUAAUUCCUAUGUGCUAUGUGGAGUCGGUGUAUAGGUAAGGUGACGGCUACCUAUGCGCCCGAGUCGAGCAUGACCGUGUUGUCAUUUGUUAUUAGAAUGGUGGAAGAAGUGAACAAUUGGGAUAAAUUCUCGUUAUAAGAGCUAUGAAGUGAAAGAUGAGAAGUAAAUGAACUAGAGCUGAGUUGUUGGUGUUUUUCCCUUGCCGGGACUUGUUGUUAUAUUGUUUCCCUUGCCGGGACUUGUUGUUGAAUUGUUUCCCUUGCCGGAACUUGUUGUUAAAUUGUUUCCCUUGUCGGGACUUGUUUUUGCAUUGUUCUCCCUUGCCGGGAUGGUUAAU
RNAcentral lists this long non-coding RNA (1634 nucleotides) under Nicotiana benthamiana. RNAcentral's name for it is "long non-coding RNA (NBEN_LNC006207)". Lineage: Eukaryota; Viridiplantae; Streptophyta; Magnoliopsida; Solanales; Solanaceae. The record is from RNAcentral.